RNAcentral lists this long non-coding RNA (590 nucleotides) under Phoenix dactylifera (date palm). RNAcentral describes it as "long non-coding RNA (PDAC_LNC021110)". Lineage: Eukaryota; Viridiplantae; Streptophyta; Magnoliopsida; Arecales; Arecaceae. The record is from RNAcentral.
AUGCUACCCCUAUAUCGAGAGAUGCUAACCAAAUGCCCAGUGCCAAGUGUAACGACUUAAAAAACUUCAUCCAAAAUAACUAGUUGAAAGGUAUUUUUUUCGAUUUCUUAGUCUUGUAUAAGUACCCAAGAUCUUCUAGACAAAUAACCAAUGUGAGACUAAACACACGUCCGCAUAGAUUCUCACAUACUUCUCCUAUUCAAGUGCUAAGGAUUCAAAUCUAUUCAAAUCUAAUCACAAGUACCACGAUAGGUCUGUGGUCAGCCUCUAUGAACCUAUGUUGUAGUGUUCCCUAGUCUACAUGGGUUAUAGGCUAGAUCUUUUAUGAUACCAUUUUAUAACAAUCCAGAAUCUUAUCCAAAAUAGCUAGUUGGAAGCUAUUUUUUGAUUUCUUGAUCUUGUGUAAGUACCCAAGAUUUUUUAGUCGAAUAACUGAUAUGAGAUUAAAUAUAUGUCCGCACAAGUUCUCACAGCAAGUGUUAUGGCGGCAUCAAUUAUACAGUCCACGAGAGAGGAAAAAAAUAGUACUAAAGUUGAGGAGUUUUCUUUUCAUUUCAUUUCGACAUGAAAGGAGCUGCAAACUAUGUGUC